This 468-nucleotide ribosomal RNA is filed under the name uncultured bacterium. Its description in RNAcentral is "partial 16S ribosomal RNA". It matches the Rfam family "Bacterial small subunit ribosomal RNA", at positions 28 to 507 of the family's 1533-position model. The record is from RNAcentral.
GACGAACGCUGGCGGCGUGCUUAACACAUGCAAGUCGAACGGAAAGGCCCUGCUUUUGUGGGGUGCUCGAGUGGCGAACGGGUGAGUAACACGUGAGUAACCUGCCCUUGACUUUGGGAUAACUUCAGGAAACUGGGGCUAAUACCGGAUAGGAGCUCCUGCUGCAUGGGGGGGGUUGGAAAGUUUCGGCGGUUGGGGAUGGACUCGCGGCUUAUGAGCUUGAUGGUGGGGUAGUGGCUUACCAAGGCUUUGACGGGUAGCCGGCCUGAGAGGGUGACCGGCCACAUUGGGACUGAGAUACGCCCCAGACUCCUACGGGAGGCAGAAGUGGGGAGUAUUGCACAGUGGGCGGAAGCCUGAUGCAGCAACGCCGCGUGCGGGAUGACGGCCUUCGGGUUGUAAACCGCUUUCGCCUGUGACGAAGCGUGAGUGACGGUAAUGGGUAAAGAAGCACCGGCUAACUACGUG